RNAcentral lists this ribosomal RNA (323 nucleotides) under uncultured fungus. RNAcentral describes it as "eukaryotic LSU rRNA". The stretch from base 1 to 71 matches the Rfam family "5.8S ribosomal RNA", at positions 84 to 154 of the family's 154-position model. The record is from RNAcentral. Lineage: Eukaryota; Fungi.
GUGAGUCAUCGAGUCUUUGAACGCACCUUGCGCUCCUUGGUAUUCCGAGGAGCAUGCCUGUUUGAGUGUCAUUAAAUUCUCAACUCCAAGGGUUUCACGACCUUUCGGAGAUUGGACUUGGAUUUGGAGCGUGCUGGCGUCGGUCGGCUCCUCUUAAAUGCAUCAGCGGAAUCUAACGUUCCGGACGUCAGUGUGAUAAUCACGUUGCGCUGUCUUUCGGUCCGAAAAGCCCGCUCACAUGGUCUUCGGACAACUUCAUAUCAAAUUUGACCUCAAAUCAGGUAGGACUACCCGCUGAACUUAAGCAUAUCAAUAAGCGGAGG